Molecule: non-coding RNA, 29 nt
Filed under: Rattus norvegicus (Norway rat)
Lineage: Eukaryota; Metazoa; Chordata; Mammalia; Rodentia; Muridae
Source: RNAcentral
UAAAACCCUAAACUUUCCUACAUGCUCCC